Long non-coding RNA from Papaver somniferum (opium poppy), 838 nucleotides. RefSeq lists it as uncharacterized. Lineage: Eukaryota; Viridiplantae; Streptophyta; Magnoliopsida; Ranunculales; Papaveraceae. The transcript has 3 exons. The record is from RefSeq and is a predicted model, not a curated record.
UCAAGAGGUGGUAGAGUCAGGUCUGGCAGUGGAUUGAAGGUGCAACAAACACUGUCACAGAGCAUUGCAGGUGUUGGUGCGCUGAGUCAAACAAUAACUCAGACUUUCACAAUUCCAAAACCCAAAGGAAAAGAAAAGGUUACAGUUCCUGCUGCUGCUACUCAAUAAUGAUUGUGCUUGGUUCUUGUUUAUUUUCCUUUAUGUUUUAAAAACUACUACUGCAUCUGUUUGCAGCAGUUUGUUAUAUGUAUUUUGGAUAAUUCUGCCAUUUCCAGAGGUGUUUCUUUUACACUGGAUUUUGCUGCAUUCAACACAGCAUCAGACAACCAUUGAAAAUCAAGACAGUUUGAGCAUUUAAGUUAUUCUUCUUGCAGGUUUGGUUCUUCCAUGGACAGUUGUUGUGCAUAUGGCUCUUGUCACCACAAGCAAAGCAGGAACGUGGAGUUGGGAGUUGAACUUUCAUUGCCCUUUUUUUGUUUAUGGCAUCUGCAAACCACUCAAAGUAUGGGCAGACUGAGCAUCUCAAGAACUUCUCAGCAACAUGAUCUUCAGUUUGAGCUUUCAACAACUUUCUCACUCCAUUGCAAGGUAUAUAAAGAAAACUGAAAAUCAGACCGUUAGGAACGGUCUAAUUUUCUGGCCACUAUUUUGCUGCCACGUCAUCGAUCUGCCACGUCACUGAUUUGUUGUGUCACCGAUCUACCACGUCAUAGACAGGGUAACCCAAGUUAUAUUAGUUGAGUUAGGUUUGAGGGCAUUUUGGGGAUAUUUAACACCUUUUUUUGAAAAACUGUUAUGUCGCCCAUAGUAUGGUCAAUUUGUAGACGAUUAGCAAAAG